RNAcentral lists this ribosomal RNA (252 nucleotides) under Triticum aestivum (bread wheat). Its description in RNAcentral is "partial small subunit ribosomal RNA". The record is from RNAcentral. Lineage: Eukaryota; Viridiplantae; Streptophyta; Magnoliopsida; Poales; Poaceae.
AUGCAGCAAAGGAUGUACAUCCAGUUGAUAGGACUGGGUGGACUUCCCAAGACACCUAGCAUCAAAAUUAGAUGUGUACUCUGCCUAGCCAUCGCUAAUUCAUAUGAUGCAGAGCAGGAUGCCUUUAUCAUCAAUGGGAGACCAUGUAGGAUCACACUAGAAGAUGUAGCGCAUAUAACAGGCAUGCCCUGCCAUGGGAAGAAGCACGUCCCUCAAAUCUUGAUGAUAAUAUGGAGUUGUGGAAGAAAUUGA